RNAcentral lists this ribosomal RNA (253 nucleotides) under uncultured bacterium. Its description in RNAcentral is "partial 16S ribosomal RNA". It matches the Rfam family "Bacterial small subunit ribosomal RNA", at positions 524 to 776 of the family's 1533-position model. The record is from RNAcentral.
GACGAACCGUGCAAACGUUGUUCGGAAUCACUGGGCUUAAAGGGCGCGUAGGCGGACCGCCAAGUCGGGAGUGAAAUCUUUCGGCCCAACCGGAAAAGGGCUUCCGAUACUGGCGAUCUCGAGGGAGGUAGGGGUCGAGGGAACUGGUGGUGGAGCGGUGAAAUGCGUAGAUAUCACUAGGAACGCCGGUGGCGAAGGCGGUUCUCUGGGCCUUACCUGACGCUGAGGAGCGAAAGCGUGGGGAGCGAACAGG